RNAcentral lists this ribosomal RNA (469 nucleotides) under uncultured bacterium. RNAcentral describes it as "SSU rRNA". It matches the Rfam family "Bacterial small subunit ribosomal RNA", at positions 26 to 523 of the family's 1533-position model. The record is from RNAcentral.
AGGACUAACGCUGGCGGCGUGCUUAACACAUGCAAGUCGAACGAGGUAGCAAUACCUAGUGGCAGACGGGUGAGUAACGCGUAGGUAACGUGCCCUCUUGCGGGGGAUACCGUUCCGAAAGGAACGUUAAUACCGCAUAACAUAUCGUUGUGGCAUCACAAUGAUAUCAAACUUCAGGGGUGAGAGGAGCGACCUGCGUUCUAUCAGCUAGUUGGUGAGGUAGUGGCUCACCAAGGCUACGACGGAUAACUGGUCUGAGAGGAUGAUCAGUCACACUGGAACUGAGACACGGUCCAGACUCCUACGGGAGGCAGCAGUGAGGAAUAUUGCGCAAUGGGGGAAACCCUGACGCAGCGACGCCGCGUGGAGGAUGAAGGCCUUCGGGUUGUAAACUCCUGUCAGUAGGGAAGAGAACGGACGGUACCUACUGAGGAAGCUUCGGCUAACUACGUGCCAGCAGCCGCGGUAA